AUUGAACGCUGGCGGCAGGCUUAACACAUGCAAGUCGAGCGGAGCGAGGGUGCUUGCACCUUAGCUUAGCGGCGGACGGGUGAGUAAUGCUUAGGAAUCUGCCUAUUAGUGGGGGACAACAUUCCGAAAGGAAUGCUAAUACCGCAUACGCCCUACGGGGGAAAGCAGGGGAUCUUCGGACCUUGCGCUAAUAGAUGAGCCUAAGUCGGAUUAGCUAGUUGGUGGGGUAAAGGCCUACCAAGGCGACGAUCUGUAGCGGGUCUGAGAGGAUGAUCCGCCACACUGGGACUGAGACACGGCCCAGGCUCCUACGGGAGGCAGCAGUGGGGAAUGGUGGACAAUGGGCGGAAGCCUGAUCCAGCCAUGCCGCGUGUGUGAAGAAGGCCUUUUGGUUGUAAAGCACUUUAAGCGAGGAGGAGGCUACUUAGAUUAAUACUCUGGGAUAGUGGACGUUACUCGCAGAAUAAGCACCGGCUAACUCUGUGCCAGCCGCCGCGGUAA
RNAcentral lists this ribosomal RNA (501 nucleotides) under uncultured bacterium. RNAcentral's name for it is "partial 16S ribosomal RNA". It matches the Rfam family "Bacterial small subunit ribosomal RNA", at positions 30 to 523 of the family's 1533-position model. The record is from RNAcentral.